GUAAGAAUUGUUAAAGGAAAUUCAUCAUGUCGAAGGAGAAUGAUAACAAAAGGCAGCUGGGUCUUGAUGAUUGAAGGAAGAAAACCAGAAAGGAACAGAAACAAAUAACUGGAAGCGGGUCACUAAGUCCAUACCCAAGGAGAUGGAAGUGAAGCUCCACCUUCUGGAGGAAAGAGCAGCGAAGGAUUUUUGGAGAUGUGGCAAAACCACCAGGGGACAGGGCUCAGGAACCCACCUGGCUGUAAGAAUUCAGUCCCUCUUGUCUCCUGGCCCUUCCUGCCGGCCCUGGGAUGGACAGGAGUGGAGGAGAUGGCCUCCAGCUUCUUUGAGGGCCUUCCCUCUGAGUUGUGACAGCAGCCUGCUUCCCGGUCUGCUCGGGAGCUGUGGGUAACCUCCUCGUUAAGGCUGCAGCCUGACACAGCCCAGCUUGCCGGUCCACUGAGUGUCGUCUAAUCUCGAUCAACCUCCCCUGCCCCACCAUCUCCCCAGAUCUGGGGACAAUCUGUAACUGGGACUCCUUUUAGCUCUGCUGAUAUACAGAUAGCAGCAAUGCACCAAUAUGGGAGCUGGUGUCCUAGCAUCAGGACCCUUGAGGUUUUGCCCCUUCUAUUUUUAACUUCACAGCCUGGUUUUAAAGACGGUUGCCUGAAUUAGAGAGCUGUUUGUUCCUGCAGAGCUGGGGUUUGGAUCAGCUGCAGGGUGCCUCAUGGGCUGGUUGGGACUUCCUUUCUCUUUUACUCAGUCAUCUCUGUCACUGUCCAGCCAUUGAGAGACAGGCUGGCUUGGUGGGGUUCAAAGAGCAUUAUCCCAAAAUAUCUCCCAGGAUUGAUCAAGCCUGGAUCCUGAUGUCCUGGCUUGAAUCACUUGUUGCUUUAGGUACACAGCCAGUUCUCACCACGUGUAUGUGUGUUUGUACAUGUGUGCACACGAGCACAUGGGCGUUAAAUGAACUGUCUCUUUCGCAUCUUCAGCCUGUCUUUGAUUUAUUUGAUUUCAUGGAUC
Molecule: long non-coding RNA, 1002 nt
Organism: Prionailurus viverrinus (fishing cat)
Lineage: Eukaryota; Metazoa; Chordata; Mammalia; Carnivora; Felidae
Exons: 3
Source: RefSeq, a predicted model, not a curated record